UGACGAGGAAACUCUGUGACCGUAACUCAUUGGUGGUAACAGGUGGCUGAGUGACUGGAGGGCUGACAGAUGGUAAUGCUGGCAAGGGAUCCGGAGCGCACAACAGUUGACGGCAGACGGGAGGAGCAGAUGGAAGAACCGGAGUAUUGCGGGUGAACCAGGUGAAUCCAGGGAAGGGGGUCUAACGCCUUGGUACCACCAAGCCGGGCCUGCCAGAGCAAAAUCUGAGCGGCGGGAAUUCUGAGGAGCUGGUUCUUUGAGCAUGACGUCAAGGCAGGUGGCUGCAGUUGACGGGUGGGUGUGGCCUGCACCUGCGGCUCAUCAAGGAACUUCAUCUCAGGCUUAAAAGUAGUACACAGACAGCUGGAAGAUGCCAGAGUGUUACCCCGUCGUGGUAUGCCUAUGCCCCAGAUCUGUUUCCCGAGCUUUGUACCAGUGAGUUUUUGGAAACCCUGUUUUUGGACUAAUCCUGUCUCCUGUCUUCUCCAGUUUGUCGGAGAAAACUGGAGAAGACAGUCUCCCCGUUCCAAACAGUAAGCGGCGCAGCUUCUGGAAGAUUUCCCCCUGGUUCGAGCCUCAGUAAUAUAUCCUCUUUCUUCUCGCAGUUGUUCCAGCUCUGACGUUCCGACCUCGUCUGUUGCACACAUUAUGUGCCUAUCCUUUGUUGAGCCUGAUAAUAAACAUCUUGAUGUUAGCAGGGCAUGAGCGUCUGCUAACACUAGUGUAUAUUGAACACUGGUGUUCAAUAUUUUUGGUGAUUUCUUUUUAAUAAUAAAUAUAAUCUUUGUUCAAGCUAUGUUAUUUAUGUAAUAAAUUACCAUAUGGUCUGCCAUCUCCUUAUCCACAUCUACCCCUGCUUUGUGAUGGAAGUGGAAACUGCUUUUUUUUUGUUCCCUGCUAGUAGACUUCACAAGUUCAGGCCAGAUAACUUUUUAAAUUUCACACAUUUCUGCAUGAUCCAUCAGCUGAUGUUGCCUGAUAGAUAAUUUGAUACUAAAUAUGGUUAAAUAUUUAAAUAUGCAUGUCAGCAUAGACUGUCCAGGGUUGUGUUGUAUUCUUCCAAAUGGUCACCAGAGGGCGGAGUAGAGCAGCUAUUGGCGCUGGGUUCCCCACGCAAUCAGCUGCACUACAUAAGGUGCUGACUAUCAGUUGACGCCUCAAUGAUUUGUUCCAUGGUACCCCAAGCCUCGAAUCAUUCCCAUGAUUCCUGCUCUGAUAAUAUUGUUGUAGCGUUCUAACCUGCUUUCCAUAUAUCUUCUUCAAGGUUCCUUCCUGGAAUUAGUUUGGGAGUCCUCCAAAAGACUCACCUGCAUCCUCACCUGCAGUUUGCUGACAACAACUUUCUUUAAGUUCCAUGAUUGGCAGCAAAACCUUUCUUGAAUCAGAACCUGUCUUCCCUCUGGCUCCACUGGAGAUUGAAAGCUCACACCCUGGACUCAGUUCACUCCUUCGCAGCACUCAAACCUCCACAAACAGUUGCCAACCCUACUCUGUUUAACUCGGUUCUGCAGGUUGGCUGCCCCAACUCACCUCCACUCCCUCUCUCAUGUUAGUUCCUGUUUGCCCGAUUCCAGUUAAUUUUGAUAUUCAAUAAACUGUUCCACCACC
Molecule: long non-coding RNA, 1608 nt
Organism: Fundulus heteroclitus (mummichog)
Lineage: Eukaryota; Metazoa; Chordata; Actinopteri; Cyprinodontiformes; Fundulidae
Exons: 2
Source: RefSeq, a predicted model, not a curated record